Canis lupus familiaris (dog) is the source of this 92-nucleotide non-coding RNA. The record is from Rfam. NCBI's taxonomy places the organism in Eukaryota, Metazoa, Chordata, Mammalia, Carnivora, Canidae.
GGGGGGAGGCCGGAUCCUGGGCUGUGUCCCCGGCGCCCUGUGCUCUGGCACCUGCGCUGUUGGAUUCGCGCUCCCGGGCCGCACAACCCCCU